AUAAUAAUUAGUCUUUUAAUUGAAGGCUGGAAUGAAUGAUUGAACGAAGUAAAAUCUGUCUCAUUAAAAAUAAAAUUUUAAUUUAAUUUUUAAGUUAAAAAGCUUAAAUUUUAUUAUAGGACGAGAAGACCCUGUAGAACUUUAUAAUUAUUAAUAACUUAAUUUUUUUAAAAUUUAAUUAUUUUAUUAAAAUUAUUUUAUUGGGGUGAUAAGAAAAUUUAAUAAACUUUUUUAAUUUUAUUACAUAAAUUAAUGAAUUUUUGAUCCUAAAUUUUAGAUUAAUAGAUUAAGUUACCUUAGGGAUAACAGCGUUAUUUUUUUUAAAAGUUCAUAUUUAUGAAAAAGAUUGC
RNAcentral lists this ribosomal RNA (350 nucleotides) under Conocoxa chalicipoda. RNAcentral describes it as "partial 16S ribosomal RNA". The record is from RNAcentral. Lineage: Eukaryota; Metazoa; Arthropoda; Insecta; Hymenoptera; Pergidae.